UGAGGAAUAUUGGUCAAUGGGCGAGAGCCUGAACCAGCCAAGUAGCGUGCAGGACGACGGCCCUAUGGGUUGUAAACUGCUUUUAUAAGGGAAUAAAGUGGGUCACGUGUGACUUUUUGCAUGUACCUUAUGAAUAAGGACCGGCUAAUUCCGUGCCAGCAGCCGCGGUAAUACGGAAGGUGCAAGCGUUAAUCGGAAUUACUGGGCGUAAAGCGCGUGUAGGCUGUAUGGCAAGUUGGAGGUGAAAUCCCACGGCUCAACCGUGGAACUGCCUUCAAAACUACCAAACUAGAGUGCGAGAGAGGAUAGCGGAAUUCCAGGUGUAGGAGUGAAAUCCGUAGAUAUCUGGAAGAACAUCAGUGGCGAAGGCGGCUAUCUGGCUCGUAACUGACGCUGAGAUGCGAAAGCGUGGGUAGCAAACAGGAUUAGAUACCCUGGUAGU
This 442-nucleotide ribosomal RNA is filed under the name uncultured Desulfovibrio sp. RNAcentral describes it as "bacterial SSU rRNA". It matches the Rfam family "Bacterial small subunit ribosomal RNA", at positions 355 to 794 of the family's 1533-position model. Lineage: Bacteria; Pseudomonadati; Thermodesulfobacteriota; Desulfovibrionia; Desulfovibrionales; Desulfovibrionaceae. The record is from RNAcentral.